This 256-nucleotide ribosomal RNA is filed under the name uncultured bacterium. RNAcentral describes it as "partial 16S ribosomal RNA". It matches the Rfam family "Bacterial small subunit ribosomal RNA", at positions 524 to 777 of the family's 1533-position model. The record is from RNAcentral.
UACGAAGGGGGGCUAGCGUUGUUCGGAAUUACUGGGCGUAAAGCGUGCGCAGGCGGCUUCUCAAGUCAGGGGUGAAAGCCCAGAGCUUAACUCUGGAAUUGCCUUUGAGACUGAGAGGCUUGAGUACGGGGAGAGGUGAGUGGAAUUCCCAGUGUAGAGGUGAAAUUCGUAGAUAUUGGGAAGAACACCGGUGGCGAAGGCGGGCUCACUGGCCCCUAACUGACGCUCAUGCACGCACUGGGGGAUCAAAACAGGG